GCCUCGAGAACACCAGAAUCAGUAUGAAAAGACUACAGAUUAGGGGUACUCUUUUCAAACAGAAAAUACUUUUGGGAAAAAAACUUUAAUCAUAAAAGGUCAGUUUGUUACUUAAGAGUUCAUCUGUCUCUUGGGAGAGAAUCUGCCUCUCCGACACCAUUUCUCAUUCCUUGCAUUCCUACAACAGGAAACAGCCAAAGAAAACACAGACACUCAGCAAGACUGACUCUAUGGAAGGCUAACUGGAGGUAGGAAAUUAUUUUUGGAAAGCAACCUCUUCCAAAGUUGAU
Molecule: long non-coding RNA, 290 nt
Filed under: Capra hircus (goat)
Lineage: Eukaryota; Metazoa; Chordata; Mammalia; Artiodactyla; Bovidae
Description: lncRNA (ENSCHIG00000000927.1)
Source: RNAcentral